Molecule: ribosomal RNA, 542 nt
Filed under: uncultured bacterium
Lineage: Bacteria
Description: bacterial SSU rRNA
Rfam family: Bacterial small subunit ribosomal RNA
Source: RNAcentral
AUGGAUUAGGCAUGCAAGUCGAACGAGAAGCUCUAGCUUGCUAGAGUAGGAAGUGGCGAAAGGGUGAGUAACACGUGAGUAAUCUGCCUCUAACUCGGGGAUAGCCUCUGGAAACGGAGAUUAAUACCGGAUGUGAUGAUUGAAUCGCAUGAUUCUUUCAUUAAAAUUUUUUGGUUGGAGAUGGGCUCGCGUCCCAUUAGCUAGUUGGUAAGGUAACGGCUUACCAAGGCAACGACGGGUAGGUGGUCUGAGAGGAUGGUCACCCACACUGGAACUGAGACACUGUCCAGACUCCUACGGGAGGCUGCAGUCGAGAAUCUUCCGCAAUGGGCGAAAGUCUGACGGAGCAAUGCCGCGUGAAUGAUGAAGGCCUUCGGGUUGUAAAAUUCUGUCACCUGGGACGAAAUUUGACGGUACCAGGAGAGGAAGUGACGGCUAACUACGUGCCAGCGGCCGCGGUAAUACGUAGGUCACGAGCGUUAAUCGGAUUUAUUGGGCGUAAAGGGUCCGCAGGGGGUUUUAUAAGUUUGACGUGAAAUGUC